This 301-nucleotide ribosomal RNA is filed under the name uncultured bacterium. Its description in RNAcentral is "partial 16S ribosomal RNA". It matches the Rfam family "Bacterial small subunit ribosomal RNA", at positions 509 to 809 of the family's 1533-position model. The record is from RNAcentral.
CAGCAGCCGCGGGAACACGUAGGUGGCAAGCGUUGUCCGGAAUUAUUGGGCGUAAAGGGCUCGCAGGCGGUUUCUUAAGUCUGAUGUGAAAGCCCCCGGCUCAACUGGGGAGGGUCAUUGGAAACUGGGAAACUUGAGUGCAGAAGAGGAGAGUGGAAUUCCACGUGUAGCGGUGAAAUGCGUAGAGAUGUGGAGGAACACCAGUGGCGAAGGCGACUCUCUGGUCUGUAACUGACGCUGAGGAGCGAAAGCGUGGGGAGCGAACAGGAUUAGAUACCCCCGUAGUCCCUGUCUCUUAUAA